GACGAACUUUGGCGGCGUGCUUAACACAUGCAAGUCGAACGGAAAGGCCCUGCUUUUGUGGGGUGCUCGAGUGGCGAACGGGUGAGUAACACGUGAGUAACCUGCCCUUGACUUUGGGAUAACUUCAGGAAACUGGGGCUAAUACCGGAUAGGAGCUCCUGCUGCAUGGUGGGGGUUGGAAAGUUUCGGCGGUUGGGGAUGGACUCGCGGCUUAUCAGCUUGUUGGUGGGGUAGUGGCUUACCAAGGCUUUGACGGGUAGCCGGCCUGAGAGGGUGACCGGCCACAUUGGGACUGAGAUACGGCCCAGACUCCUACGGGAGGCAGCAGUGGGGAAUAUUGCACAAUGGGCGGAAGCCUGAUGCAGCAACGCCGCGUGCGGGAUGACGGCCUUCGGGUUGUAAACCGCUUUCGCCUGUGACGAAGCGUGAGUGACGGUAAUGGGUAAAGAAGCACCGGCUAACUACGUGCCAGCAGCCGCGGUGAUACGUAGGGUGCGAGCGUUGUCCGGAUUUAUUGGGCGUAAAGGGCUCGUAGGUGGUUGAUCGCGUCGGAAGUGUAAUCUUGGGGCUUAACCCUGAGCGUGCUUUCGAUACGGGUUGACUUGAGGAAGGUAGGGGAGAAUGGAAUUCCGGGUGGAGCGGUGGAAUGCGCAGAUAUCAGGAGGAACACCAGUGGCGAAGGCGGUUCUCUGGGCCUUUCCUGACGCUGAGGAGCGAAAGCGUGGGGAGCGAACAGGCUUAGAUACCCUGGUAGUCCACGCUGUAAACGGUGGGUACUAGGUGUGGGGUCCAUUCCACGGGUUCCGUGCCGUAGCUAACGCUUUAAGUACCCCGCCUGGGGAGUACGGCCGCAAGGCUAAAACUCAAAGGAAUUGACGGGGCCCCGCACAAGCGGCGGAGCAUGCGGAUUAAUUCGAUGCAACGCGUAGAACCUUACCUGGGUUUGACAUGGAUCGGGAGUGCUCAGAGAUGGGUGUGCCUCUUUUGGGGUCGGUUCACAGGUGGUGCAUGCCUGUCGUCAGCUCGUGUCGUGAGAUGUUGGGUUAAGUCCCGCAACGAGCGCAACCCUUGUUCACUGUUGCCAGCACGUUAUGGUGGGGACUCAGUGGAGACCGCCGGGGUCAACUCGGAGGAAGGUGGGGAUGACGUCAAGUCCUCAUGCCCCUUAUGUCCAGGGCUUCACGCAUGCUACAAUGGCUGGUACAGAGAGUGGCGAGCCUGUGAGGGUGAGCGAAUCUCGGAAAGCCGGUCUCAGUUCGGAUUGGGGUCUGCAACUCGACCUCAUGAAGUCGGAGUCGCUAGUAAUCGCAGAUCAGCAACGCUGCGGUGAAUACGUUCCCGGGGCU
RNAcentral lists this ribosomal RNA (1346 nucleotides) under uncultured bacterium. RNAcentral describes it as "bacterial SSU rRNA". It matches the Rfam family "Bacterial small subunit ribosomal RNA", at positions 28 to 1381 of the family's 1533-position model. The record is from RNAcentral.